RNAcentral lists this ribosomal RNA (515 nucleotides) under uncultured bacterium. RNAcentral describes it as "bacterial SSU rRNA". It matches the Rfam family "Bacterial small subunit ribosomal RNA", at positions 798 to 1317 of the family's 1533-position model. The record is from RNAcentral.
CACGGUAAACGAUGGAUGCCCGCUGUUUGCCCUUCGGGGUGAGUGGCUAAGCGAAAGCGUUAAGCAUCCCACCUGGGGAGUACGCCGGCAACGGUGAAACUCAAAGGAAUUGACGGGGGCCCGCACAAGCGGAGGAACAUGUGGUUUAAUUCGAUGAUACGCGAGGAACCUUACCCGGGCUUGAAUUGCAGAUGACGGAUCUAGAGAUAGUGACUUCCUUCGGGACAUCUGUGAAGGUGCUGCAUGGUUGUCGUCAGCUCGUGCCGUGAGGUGUCGGCUUAAGUGCCAUAACGAGCGCAACCCUUCUCUUCAGUUGCCAUCAGGUUAAGCUGGGCACUCUGGAGACACUGCCACCGUAAGGUGUGAGGAAGGUGGGGAUGACGUCAAAUCAGCACGGCCCUUACGUCCGGGGCUACACACGUGUUACAAUGGCCGGUACAGAAAGUCGGAUGCCCGUAAGGUCAUUCUAAUCAAGAAAGCCGGUCCCAGUUCGGACUGAGGUCUGCAACCCGACC